CGUAAACUACCUAAAGCCAUCGAAAACUGUCUCAUUGUCUAUUUUUUCUUUCUUUUAAUUUAUCUACAUCUCUUACCUUAAACAACUUUUCUUAGUUAUGAGAAGUCUAAUGUUUUGGCAAGUUAUUACCUUAAGAGGUGCCAUUCUAACAUGAUGAUUGGCAUGAGUGAAGAAAGAUUGUUGGUAAGGCAUGAGGAUC
Molecule: long non-coding RNA, 199 nt
Filed under: Ricinus communis (castor bean)
Lineage: Eukaryota; Viridiplantae; Streptophyta; Magnoliopsida; Malpighiales; Euphorbiaceae
Description: long non-coding RNA (RCOM_LNC002894)
Source: RNAcentral